CAAAAACAUAGCCACUUGAAUUUAUAAGUGGUAUUUUCUGCUCAAUGACAAACUUAAAUAGCCGCAGUACCCUGACUGUGCAAAGGUAGCGUAAUCACUUGACUUCUAAUUAAAGUCGCGUAUGAAAGAAUACAUGGGGGUUAACUGUAUCAGUAAUAUAACUUGAAAUUACUUGGCGUGUGCAAACACUCGCAAACAAAUAAUAGACGAGAAGACCCUAGAAAUUUUAAUACUUUUUUGUUGGGGCAACAUAGUAACAAAUAAUUUACAUUAUUUUACACGCAAUUAUUUUGAUAGCGUAAAUUACUCUAGGGAUAACAGCAUAAUAUAUUAAUGUUUGUGACCUCGAUGUUGGAUUAGGGAGUUGAUGUUUAGAAGACUUACAACAAUGCUCUGUUCGAGCA
This 404-nucleotide ribosomal RNA is filed under the name Gloreugenia hedleyi. Its description in RNAcentral is "partial 16S ribosomal RNA". It matches the Rfam family "Archaeal large subunit ribosomal RNA", at positions 1900 to 2656 of the family's 2987-position model. Lineage: Eukaryota; Metazoa; Mollusca; Gastropoda; Stylommatophora; Camaenidae. The record is from RNAcentral.